ACCCUUUUGUAGUUCAUAAGUAUGAUGAUUGGGUUUUCAUGCACAUGCGUGAAAUGUGUCUCCCUCAGUUCUUGUUACGAGGUCAACACAUUACCCAUCUGAUA
Small nucleolar RNA from Lemur catta (Ring-tailed lemur), 104 nucleotides. RefSeq annotates it as small nucleolar RNA U13. The record is from RefSeq and is a predicted model, not a curated record. Lineage: Eukaryota; Metazoa; Chordata; Mammalia; Primates; Lemuridae. The transcript has a single exon.